CACAAUACCAUACCUGCCCACUUUGGCAUUCUCCGCUUCACCCUGGAAUAGGACAGAUGGAAUUGCAAACAUCGAGGAUACAAAGAGAAGUUGGCAUCCAAAUCUUCUUGGCUUUUACUUGAACAGAGCUACUAUUCUGGUACGAACUUGGAUCCCACAUUAUACGAUCGUCUUUCCAUGAAAAAAAAACAUUCAUUAUGACCCGGACAUCGUUUUUUGUUUUUCAUUGACUUCGAAAAUUCCCAAGAGUGCAAUAUCCACUUCUACAGUGAUACUGGUUUUGGUGGAUUCGAAAGGAGCUACAUCGGGAUCCCUCACAUUAUUGAUAUCGCGGAAGAUCUGGGACCUGUUUGAGGCACUACAAAGAUUACACGAGUAGACAGCUAGGAGAACAGCUUGAAAUAUGGACGCUAUUCGUCUAUCCAUGUUUGUUCAAAGUGCGAUUUACGAAUGAAAUCUUCGAAAAUGU
Long non-coding RNA from Ostrea edulis (European flat oyster), 469 nucleotides. RefSeq lists it as uncharacterized. NCBI's taxonomy places the organism in Eukaryota, Metazoa, Mollusca, Bivalvia, Ostreida, Ostreidae. The record is from RefSeq and is a predicted model, not a curated record. The transcript is spliced from 2 exons.